GGGCCUACGGGGCGCAGCAGUGAGGAAUAUUGGUCAAUGGGCGCAAGCCUGAACCAGCCAAGUCGCGUGAGGGAUGACGGUCCUAUGGAUUGUAAACCUCUUUUGUCGGGGAGCAAGGCCCGCCACGUGUGGCGGGAAGGAGAGGACCCGAAGAAAAAGCAUCGGCUAACUCCGUGCCAGCAGCCGCGGUAAUACGGAGGAUGCGAGCGGUGUCCGGAUUUAUUGGGGUUAAAGGGUGCGUAGGCCGAAGGUUAAGUCAGCGGUCAAAUGUCGGGGCUCAACACCGGCCUGCCGU
RNAcentral lists this ribosomal RNA (295 nucleotides) under uncultured bacterium. Its description in RNAcentral is "partial 16S ribosomal RNA". It matches the Rfam family "Bacterial small subunit ribosomal RNA", at positions 335 to 627 of the family's 1533-position model. The record is from RNAcentral.